CACGUAGGGCGCAAGCGUUGUCCGGAAUUAUUGGGCGUAAAGAGCUCGUAGGCGGCUUGUCGCGUCGACUGUGAAAACCCGAGGCUCAACUUCGGGCUUGCAGUCGAUACGGGCAGGCUAGAGUUCGGUAGGGGAGACUGGAAUUCCUGGUGUAGCGGUGAAAUGCGCAGAUAUCAGGAGGAGCACCGAUGGCGAAGGCAGGUCUCUGGGCCGAUACUGACGCUGAGGAGCGAAAGCGUGGGGAGCGAACAGG
RNAcentral lists this ribosomal RNA (253 nucleotides) under uncultured bacterium. Its description in RNAcentral is "partial 16S ribosomal RNA". It matches the Rfam family "Bacterial small subunit ribosomal RNA", at positions 524 to 776 of the family's 1533-position model. The record is from RNAcentral.